GACGAACGCUGGCGGCGUGCUUAACACAUGCAAGUCGAACGGAAAGGCCUGCUUUCCCUUGUGGAUUGCGGGUACUCGAGUGGCGAACGGGUGAGUAACACGUGAGUGAUCUGCCCCCAACUUGGGUAUAAGCCUGGGAAACUGGGUCUAAUUCCCGAUAGGACUGCAGGGUGGUGCCUGUGGUGGAAAACGAUUUUCUAGUGGUUGGGGAUGAGCUCGCGGCCUAUCAGCUUGUUGGUGGGGUAAUGGCCUACCAAGGCGGCGACGGGUAGCCGGCCUGGGAGGGUGGACGGGCACAUUGGGACUGAGAUACGGCCCAGACUCCUACGGGAGGCAGCAGUGGGGAAUAUUGCACAAUGGGCGGAAGCCUGAUGCAGCGACGCCGCGUGGGGGAUGACGGCCUUCGGGUUGUAAACUCCUUUCGACCGAGGAAGCCACCUGGUUGGAAGGGUGGUGACGGUAGUGGUAGAAGAAGCACCGGCUAACUACGUG
This 492-nucleotide ribosomal RNA is filed under the name uncultured bacterium. RNAcentral describes it as "partial 16S ribosomal RNA". It matches the Rfam family "Bacterial small subunit ribosomal RNA", at positions 28 to 507 of the family's 1533-position model. The record is from RNAcentral.